Molecule: long non-coding RNA, 1445 nt
Filed under: Salmo salar (Atlantic salmon)
Lineage: Eukaryota; Metazoa; Chordata; Actinopteri; Salmoniformes; Salmonidae
Description: lncRNA (ENSSSAG00000112281.1, ENSSSAG00020076347.1)
Source: RNAcentral
AGAAAAUGUAGUCAAAUGGAUACAUAAAGUGCUUUCAUUUCUAAACGGUAAAACAGAUAUUUAUGAAAAUACCUUCAAAUGUAUUUUUUUAUUUCACCUUUAUUUAACCAGGUAGGCAAGUUGAGAACAAGUUCUCAUUUACAAUUGCGACCUGGCCAAGAUAAAGCAAAUCAGUUCGACAACAUACAACAACACAGAGUUACACAUGGAGUAAAACAAAUAUACAGUAGAAAAAUAAGUCUAUGUACAAUGUGAGCAAAUGAGGUGAGAUAAGGGAGGUAAAGGCAAAAAAAGUCCAUGGUGGCAAAGUAAAUCCAAUAUAGCAAGUAAAACACUGGAAUGGUAGAUUUGUAGUAGAAGAAAGUGCAAAGUAGAAAUAGAGAUAAUGGGGUGCAAAGGAGCAAAAUAAAAUAAAUAAAUACAGUAGGGGAAGAGGUAGUUGUUUGGGCUAAAUUAUAGAUGGGCUAUGUACAGUUGCAGUGAUCUGUGAGCUGCUCUGACAGCUGGUGCUUAAAGCUAGUGAGGGAGAUAUGAGUCUCCAGCUUCAGAGAUUUUUGCAGUUCAUUCCAGUCAUUGGCAGCAGAGAACUGGAAGGAAAGACGACCAAAGGGGGAAUUGGCUUUGGGGGUGACCAGUGAGAUAUACCUGCUGGCGCACGUGCUACGAGUCGGUGCUGCUAUGGUGACCAGUGAGCUGAGAUAAGGCGGGGCUUUACCUAGCAGAGACUUGUAGAUAACCUGUAGCCAGUGGGUUUGGCGACGAGUAUGAAGCGAGGGCCAGCCAACGAGAGCGUACAGGUCACAAUGGUGGGUAGUGUAUGGGGCCUUGGUGACAAAACGGAUGGCACUGUGAUAGACUGCAUCCAGUUUGUUGAGUAGAGUGUUGGAGGCUAUUCUAUAGAUGCCAACACCGAAGUCGAGGAUCGGUAGGAUGGUCAGUUUUACGAGGGCAUGUUUGGCAGCAUAAGUGAACGACGCUUUGCUGCGACAUAGGAAGCCGAUUCUAGAUUUAAUUUUGGAUUGGAGAUGCUUAAUGUGAGUCUGGAAGGAGAGUUUACAGUCUAACCAGACACCCAGGUAUUUGUGGUUGCCCACGUAUUCUAAGUCAUAGCGUCCAGAGUAGUGAUGCUGAACGGGCGAGCAGGUGCGGGCAGCGAUCGAUUGAAUAGCAUGCAUUUAGUUUUACUUGCGUUUAAGAGCAGUUGGAGGCCACGGAAGGAAAGUUGUAUGGCAUUGAAGCUCGUCUGGAGGUUAGUUAACACAGUGUCCAGAGGGGCCAGAAGUAUACAGAAUGGUGUCGUCUGAGCAGAGGUGGAUCAGAGAAUCACCAGCAGCAAGAGCAACAUCAUUGAUGUAUACAGAGAAGAGAGUCGGCCCGAGAUUUGAACCCUGUAGCACACCCAUAGAGACUGCCAGAGGUCCGGACAACAGGCCCUCUGAUUUGAC